CGCGUGAGGGAUGACGGCCUUCGGGUUGUAAACCUCUUUCAGCAGGGACGAAGCGUAAGUGACGGUACCUGCAUAAGAAGCACCGGCCAACUACGUGCCAGCAGCCGCGGUAAGACGUAGGGUGCGAGCGUUGUCCGGAUUUAUUGGGCGUAAAGAGCUCGUAGGCGGCUUGUCGCGUCGACCGUGAAAACUUGGGGCUCAACCCCAAGCCUGCGGUCGAUACGGGCAGGCUAGAGUUCGGUAGGGGAGACUGGAAUUCCUGGUGUAGCGGUGAAAUGCGCAGAUAUCAAGAGGAACACCGGUGGCGAAGGCGGAUCUCUGGGCCGAUACUGACGCUGAGGAGCGAAAGCGUGGGGAGCGAACAGGAUUAGAUACCCUGGUAGUCCACGCUGUAAACGUUGGGCGCUAGGUGUGGGGGGCCUCUCCGGUUCUCUGUGCCGCAUCUAACGCAUUAAGCGCCCCGCCUGGGGAGUACGGCCGCAAGGCUAAAACUCAGAGGAAUUGACGGGGGCCCGCACAAGCGGCGGAGCAUGCGGAUUAAUUCGAUGCAACGCGAAGAACCUUACCUGGGUUUGACAUGGCCGCAAAACUUGCAGAGAUGUAAAGUCCUUCGG
RNAcentral lists this ribosomal RNA (614 nucleotides) under Micromonospora sp. Ri3Pt_4485. RNAcentral describes it as "bacterial SSU rRNA". It matches the Rfam family "Bacterial small subunit ribosomal RNA", at positions 398 to 1023 of the family's 1533-position model. The record is from RNAcentral. Lineage: Bacteria; Bacillati; Actinomycetota; Actinomycetes; Micromonosporales; Micromonosporaceae.